RNAcentral lists this ribosomal RNA (253 nucleotides) under uncultured bacterium. Its description in RNAcentral is "partial 16S ribosomal RNA". It matches the Rfam family "Bacterial small subunit ribosomal RNA", at positions 524 to 776 of the family's 1533-position model. The record is from RNAcentral.
UACGGAAGGUGCAAGCGUUAUUCGGAAUCAUUGGGCGUAAAGGGUGCGUAGACGGCACAUUAAGUCAACUGUUAAAUCUCGUGGCCUAACUGGGAAAAUGCGGUAGAUACUGAUAUGCUAGAGGAUGGAAGAGAGAAGUGGAAUUCUGGGAGUAGCGGUAAAAUGCGUAGAUAUCGAGAGGAACACCGAUGGCGAAGGCAGCUUCUUGGUCCAUUCCUGACGUUGAGGCACGAAAGUGUGGGGAGCAAACAGG